Molecule: long non-coding RNA, 3176 nt
Organism: Oncorhynchus tshawytscha (Chinook salmon)
Lineage: Eukaryota; Metazoa; Chordata; Actinopteri; Salmoniformes; Salmonidae
Source: Ensembl
AGUAAUAUAGUCAUAAUGGGUGUGCAAUGUGUAACUGUAAUAACAUACUGUAAGUGCCCAGACAGGAUAAAUUCUAACAAUAAAGUUCGUCCUAAUAUCGGUUUAAAAUCCAUAGAAAACUCGAAUAAAGAGAAACGUGAACAUUUUUUAAACAUGGAAAUACAUUUCUUUUUAAAUACAGAUACAUUUAAAGUUCUAAUAAUAGCAAAUGUUCUAGGUCUGUCCUAUAUUGUGGAUGUUCAUGAUGCGCGCUGUGUUGGAGGACGGAACAGAGCAACAGACAGAUGUAGGCUAAAACUCGCAACAUAGUAGCAUGCGCCCCUGUUAUCCACGCCCGCCCCCACGUGCCAAUUAUCUUCCCAAAACUCGCUGAGAGGCGACAGAAGCACCUGACAGAUGUUGACCGUUUAAAGCCGCGCAUUCUCGCGAGUUCAAGAGACACUCCACGUGCACUUUAGGGACGGAUGAAACGGAGAGACCGCACUUUAGCAGCAUCGGAUAAAGGUUUUGGAACAAGCUCUUGUCAAUGGUUAAAUACUGACAGAAUAAGUAAAGCAUUCAGAAAUAUGAUGAGGAUUUUUCCUACUCAGUCUAAUUCCAAAUGUUGAUGCCAAAGACAUUUCCUUUUUUUAAACAGACUUUGUUUUUGGAGAAAUACUUGGAAAAUACUUUGAAACUGAUUUACCAAACUGAUGUGUUUUCAGCCCGAACAGGAACACGGACAUUAAUUAGCAUGACCUUUUAAUUUGCAUUUGAAUCGAUAAAAAGCACAGAAAUCAUUCAUUUAAUAAUUAUUGAAAAGUGUUCGUAGGCCAUAGUAAUAUGAUAACAAUAGGGUAAUAAUAAUAGCCCAUUAGUAACAUAAUAAUCAUAAUAGUAAUAAUAAUCAUUGGGUAUAAAAUGCAUCUGUAUUUUGUAUGCUUCAUUUUAGUUUUUUGAUCGAUUGUACAAUGUUUACAGAAACAAUAGCAGGAAAGCACAUUUAAUGGGAGGUACAUUUAAGGAAGCAGGCAGCCUAGCGGUUAAGAGCGUUGGCCCAGCAACCGUCAGGUCGCUGGUUCGAAUCGCAGAACCGAUUAGGUGAAAAAUCUCUAAACGUUCCCUUGAGCAAGGUACUUAACCCUAAUUGCGCUGGAUAAGAGCGUCUGCUGAAUUACUAUAAUGUAAAUGAUUCGUGUAAAUAUUAUUUUGUCUAUGAUAGUGUGUACUGACAGCUAGCAUCAUGUAUGGUCGCAGGGUUGGGUAAAUCCCGUUUUCAAUUCAGUCAGUUGAAUUCAAAUGUAAUUCCCGAUUCAACCUAUUUAUUGUCAUUGGUGGAGAUGGAAUUGACCGUGUCAAAUUGCCAUAGCCGUGGCAGUUGCAAGGAGGCCUGCCUAUUCAUUGCAGCGUAUAUUUUACAUCUCCUUAGAUAACAUGUUAUUUACCCAAGCUUACAAUGCUGAAUGUCAGGUUGACACGGGGAUGGAUAAGCAAAUUGUCAGCGAAUCGCACCUGAAAAAUUGUCACUUUGAUAAAUCAUGAAUUUCCUACGUAAACCCGAGCUACAUCUAGAAUGUAAAUAUGCAGAUACUGCCACUAUCAACUGCGUUACAGAAUUCGUCAAAUUACGAAUAAUGUUUUGGAGGUAUCAGCUUCAUGAUUUAAAGACUCUGGCAUUGUGUUUCAAGGGCUUUAAUAUAAAAAUGGGUAUUUCGAUUUGAGUUAGUAUUUCGUUAUUUUCCAUAUAGGUCUGUAUCAGUGAAUAAAAAAUAAAGCAUUCAUUACUCACUAAAUAGCCUGCUUUUUGGUGUGUGUUUGUUUGUAAUAUGGACUUCAUAGUGCAGGCCUAUAAGUAGCCUGCGUGUGAGAGAGACCACUGAGAGCGAUUGCAGUGUGGUAGCCUACUGUGUGUGUGCUUCAGUUCUGCGAGAGCUGUCUUUCAGCACCACGGCGCGCGUUCAUGGAAUGUGCGCACCCGCCGAAUUGAGUCUCCAGUAGACGGCGAUCAAGCUCUGCCACGAUAGAACCGAGCCUUUCUCCUGAAGAUGUUCCUUCAUAGUCGGUGUCAAUUGUGACCUUCUCUGUUUGGCAACGAUAAUUAAAACGUAUUGAUAAAACAAGGUAUUGGUCAAUAGGACUCUAUACUUGUUUUGCAAUCAUUCGCCCUUGUAAAUUUGUGAAUCAUUUCUGAAUAACCACAGGGCCUGGUCGAAAAACCUAUUUUAGAUAAUUAAUUGUGCAUUAAUGUUUUACAUUGAAUAGGUUAUACAAUUCACAAUCAUAUUUUUUAUGUAAAAUAUUAGAUAACUGGUUGAGUUUCUUUCUGUCAUUAAUUAAUUGAUUGAUGUGGAAUUGGUUUGGUGGACUGCCAACCCGUGAAUAGACUAUAGACAGACUUUGCUAUGGGGCUAUGGAAACACAAAAACAAAUUAUAUAGCCUUAAUGAAAUUAGCUGAAUUUUAAUCGACAUAAUCCACAAUUACGAUGUAAAUUACAAUGUACAUUUACUUAUAAUCCGCCUGUCUGCAUAUUUCAAGACAUGUCAUAUGAGGAUGCAGUGAGAUACCGGAUGGGUUGGACAACACUCUUCUCGUUAAUUAUCUUUAAAAUAAAAAGUAUACUUAAAAACUGUAAAUAACCAAUCCUCCAUCUUUAAGACAAUGGAAAAAUAAUCAUAUGCUUCAUUAUCUAAAUAUUGAAAGAGCGUGGGCGACGGAGAGGAACAAAAUGGUGCAAUUUGAGGACAUGUGGCAGAGAGUAGCGCAGGCACAGAAAAUAGGGUUGAGAACAGGUGUGUAUGAGCAGGUGUGAUGUCGUUGAGGCUUGUGUGUAUUUUGUAUGUACAUGCUUUGUAUUGUAAUAAUAAAUAAAAAACGAUUUAAAAAAUCAAUUAGCAUAAUAAAAAUAUCUCUGAAAUGUAAAGUGACGGCGUAGUUUGAAGUCUUGUUUUGUUUAUUGAAGCCAUAUGUUAGGUAAAACCAUGAGGCAGGUCACUCAGAAUUGUAUGUUGUAAUUUAUCUGUAUUUACCCUGCUUGGCCUAUAAACGCCCAGAGAUUGAAGGGGGAGAAAUGUCUCCCACAGAAUAGUACAUCGAGGAGAAAUACUAUAUUGCUUUCUCUCAUCAUGGGUAACUCCCAUGUGGUUCUAGCACAAUGUCAAUUGUAGCAAUCCCCCCUCCACCGCUUUCAGACAAAAG